UACGUAGGUGGCAAGCGUUGUUCGGAAUUAUUGGGCGUAAAGGGCGCGUAGGCGGUUUGUUAAGUCGGCUGUGAAAGCCCGGGGCUCAACCCCGGAGGGUCAGCCGAUACUGGCAGUCUAGAGUACGGAAGAGGUAGCUGGAAUUCCCGGUGUAGCGGUGAAAUGCGUAGAUAUCGUAAGGAAGACCAGUGGCGAAGGCGGGUCUCUGGACAGUUCCUGACGCUGAGGCACGAAGGCCAGGGGAGCAAACGGG
This 253-nucleotide ribosomal RNA is filed under the name uncultured bacterium. RNAcentral's name for it is "partial 16S ribosomal RNA". It matches the Rfam family "Bacterial small subunit ribosomal RNA", at positions 524 to 776 of the family's 1533-position model. The record is from RNAcentral.